CCUACGGGUGGCAGCAGUGGGGGAUAUUGGACAAUGGGGGAAACCCUGAUCCAGCGACGCCGCGUGAGUGAAGAAGUAUUUCGGUAUGUAAAGCUCUAUCAGCAGGGAAGAACGAAAUGUCGGUACCUGAGUAAGAAGCCCCGGCUAACUACGUGCCAGCAGCCGCGGUAAUACGUAGGGGGCAAGCGUUAUCCGGAAUUACUGGGCGUAAAGGGAGCGUAGACGGUAAUGCAAGUCUGGAGUGAAAGGCGGGGGCCCACCCCCCGGACUGCUCUUGAAACUGGGUAACUGGAGUGCAGGAGAGGCAGGUGGAAUUCCAGGUGUAGCGGUGAAAUGCGUAGAUAUUAGGAGGAACACCAGUGGCGAAGGCGGCCAUCUGGAACGUAACUGACGUUGAGGCUCGAAAGCGUGGGGAGCAAACAGGAUUAGAUACCCCGGUAGUC
This 443-nucleotide ribosomal RNA is filed under the name uncultured bacterium. RNAcentral's name for it is "partial 16S ribosomal RNA". It matches the Rfam family "Bacterial small subunit ribosomal RNA", at positions 338 to 795 of the family's 1533-position model. The record is from RNAcentral.